RNAcentral lists this ribosomal RNA (678 nucleotides) under bacterium IMCC11699. RNAcentral's name for it is "bacterial SSU rRNA". It matches the Rfam family "Bacterial small subunit ribosomal RNA", at positions 28 to 752 of the family's 1533-position model. The record is from RNAcentral.
AACGUACGCUGGCGGCACGCCUAACACAUGCAAGUCGAGCGGGGUAGCAAUACCUAGCGGCAGACGGGUGCGUAACAUGUGGGAAUCUGCCUUUUGGUUCGGAACAACAUGGGGAAACCUGUGCUAAUACCGGAUAAGUCCUAACGGAGAAAGUUUUAAUGCCAAAAGAUGAGCCCGCAUUUGAUUAGCUUGUUGGUGAGGUAAAAGCUCACCAAGGCUAUAAUCAAUAGCUGAUUUGAGAGGAUGAUCAGCCACACUGGGACUGAGAUACGGCCCAGACUCCUACGGGAGGCAGCAGUGGGGAAUCUUGCACAAUGGGCGAAAGCCUGAUGCAGCGAUGCCGCGUGAGUGAAGAAGGCCUUUGGGUUGUAAAGCUCUUUUGUCGGGAAAGAUAAUGACUGUACCCGAAGAAUAAGGUCCGGCUAACUUCGUGCCAGCAGCCGCGGUAAUACGAAGGGACCUAGCGUAGUUCGGAAUUACUGGGCGUAAAGAGUAUGUAGGCGGCUAGAUAAGUUAAUUGUGAAAGCCCAAAGCUUAACUUUGGAACUGCAAUUAAAACUAUUUAGCUGGAGUAUGAUAGAGGAAAGCGGAAUACAUAGUGUAGAGGUGAAAUUCGUAGAUAUUAUGUAGAACACCAGUUGCGAAGGCGGCUUUCUGGAUCAUUACUGACGCUGAGAA